GAGUGGCGGACGGGUGAGUAAUGUCUGGGAAACUGCCUGAUGGAGGGGGAUAACUACUGGAAACGGUAGCUAAUACCGCAUAACGUCGCAAGACCAAAGAGGGGGACCUUCGGGCCUCUUGCCAUCAGAUGUGCCCAGAUGGGAUUAGCUAGUAGGUGGGGUAACGGCUCACCUAGGCGACGAUCCCUAGCUGGUCUGAGAGGAUGACCAGCCACACUGGAACUGAGACACGGUCCAGACUCCUACGGGAGGCAGCAGUGGGGAAUAUUGCACAAUGGGCGCAAGCCUGAUGCAGCCAUGCCGCGUGUAUGAAGAAGGCCUUCGGGUUGUAAAGUACUUUCAGCGGGGAGGAAGGUGUUGUGGUUAAUAACCGCAGCAAUUGACGUUACCCGCAGAAGAAGCACCGGCUAACUCCGUGCCAGCAGCCGCGGUAAUACGGAGGGUGCAAGCGUUAAUCGGAAUUACUGGGCGUAAAGCGCACGCAGGCGGUCUGUCAAGUCGGAUGUGAAAUCCCCGGGCUCAACCUGGGAACUGCAUUCGAAACUGGCAGGCUGGAGUCUUGUAGAGGGGGGUAGAAUUCCAGGUGUAGCGGUGAAAUGCGUAGAGAUCUGGAGGAAUACCGGUGGCGAA
RNAcentral lists this ribosomal RNA (630 nucleotides) under Kosakonia oryzendophytica. RNAcentral describes it as "bacterial SSU rRNA". It matches the Rfam family "Bacterial small subunit ribosomal RNA", at positions 93 to 719 of the family's 1533-position model. The record is from RNAcentral. Lineage: Bacteria; Pseudomonadati; Pseudomonadota; Gammaproteobacteria; Enterobacterales; Enterobacteriaceae.